Molecule: small nuclear RNA, 102 nt
Organism: Cercocebus atys (sooty mangabey)
Lineage: Eukaryota; Metazoa; Chordata; Mammalia; Primates; Cercopithecidae
Source: Ensembl
GUGCUCACUUCAGCAGGACGUAUAUUAAAAUUUGAAUGAUACACAGGUUAGCAUGGCCUCUGCACAUGGAUGGCACAAAUUUUUGAAGCAUUCCGUAUUUUU